UAUACAUGCAAGUCGAGCGAAUGGAUUAAGAGCUUGCUCUUAUGAAGUUAGCGGCGGACGGGUGAGUAACACGUGGGUAACCUGCCCAUAAGACUGGGAUAACUCCGGGAAACCGGGGCUAAUACCGGAUAACAUUUUGAACCGCAUGGUUCGAAAUUGAAAGGCGGCUUCGGCUGUCACUUAUGGAUGGACCCGCGUCGCAUUAGCUAGUUGGUGAGGUAACGGCUCACCAAGGCAACGAUGCGUAGCCGACCUGAGAGGGUGAUCGGCCACACUGGGACUGAGACACGGCCCAGACUCCUACGGGAGGCAGCAGUAGGGAAUCUUCCGCAAUGGACGAAAGUCUGACGGAGCAACGCCGCGUGAGUGAUGAAGGCUUUCGGGUCGUAAAACUCUGUUGUUAGGGAAGAACAAGUGCUAGUUGAAUAAGCUGGCACCUUGACGGUACCUAACCAGAAAGCCACGGCUAACUACGUGCCAGCAGCCGCGGUAAUACGUAGGUGGCAAGCGUUAUCCGGAAUUAUUGGGCGUAAAGCGCGCGCAGGUGGUUUCUUAAGUCUGAUGUGAAAGCCCACGGCUCAACCGUGGAGGGUCAUUGGAAACUGGGAGACUUGAGUGCAGAAGAGGAAAGUGGAAUUCCAUGUGUAGCGGUGAAAUGCGUAGAGAUAUGGAGGAACACCAGUGGCGAAGGCGACUUUCUGGUCUGUAACUGACACUGAGGCGCGAAAGCGUGGGGAGCAAACAGGAUUAG
This 751-nucleotide ribosomal RNA is filed under the name Bacillus anthracis (anthrax bacterium). RNAcentral describes it as "bacterial SSU rRNA". It matches the Rfam family "Bacterial small subunit ribosomal RNA", at positions 50 to 781 of the family's 1533-position model. Lineage: Bacteria; Bacillati; Bacillota; Bacilli; Caryophanales; Bacillaceae. The record is from RNAcentral.